CCUACGGGUGGCUGCAGUGGGGAAUUUUGGACAAUGGGCGAAAGCCUGAUCCAGCCAUGCCGCGUGCGGGAAGAAGGCCUUCGGGUUGUAAACCGCUUUUGUCAGGAAAGAAAUCCUCUGGGCUAAUACCCCGGGGGGAUGACGGUACCUGAAGAAUAAGCACCGGCUAACUACGUGCCAGCAGCCGCGGUAAUACGUAGGGUGCAAGCGUUAAUCGGAAUUACUGGGCGUAAAGCGUGCGCAGGCGGUUGUGCAAGACAGAUGUGAAAUCCCCG
RNAcentral lists this ribosomal RNA (275 nucleotides) under uncultured bacterium. RNAcentral's name for it is "partial 16S ribosomal RNA". It matches the Rfam family "Bacterial small subunit ribosomal RNA", at positions 338 to 605 of the family's 1533-position model. The record is from RNAcentral.